This is a long non-coding RNA of Aquila chrysaetos chrysaetos, 573 nucleotides long. RefSeq lists it as uncharacterized. The record is from RefSeq and is a predicted model, not a curated record. NCBI's taxonomy places the organism in Eukaryota, Metazoa, Chordata, Aves, Accipitriformes, Accipitridae. The transcript has 3 exons.
UCCCAGAGCUGGUUCAAGCUGGAAUAUGAAGCAAGGAAGGCUGCUAUGGUUGUCAGCUGACACAGCAACCUUAGAGAUAAGAAAAGCAACAGCCCACACACAGACAAUGAAGGGACCCAAUGGAGAACAGGCUUUCCAGGGAACCCCACAGAUGAAGACUGGGCCACAGGUCCCACUGUGCCCAGCUGCAAAACAUGGCCCUCACAGCUGUCUGUCUUCUACUGCUGGUGCUGACUGCCCUGAUCUUCUACCAUCACUGCAAGCCUGUUGUGCAAUUAGGUAACUAAAAGAAGGCCCCAGAGCUGGUUCAAGCUGGAAGAAGGUAAGGGAGGCCACUACAGUCAUCAGCUGAUGCAGCAACCUUAGACAUAGGAGAAGAAACAGCCCACCUACAGACAAUGAAGGGACCCAAUGGAGAACAGGAAGACCCCAGACCCUAAUAUUACUACUGGCCAGAACUGUCCCAUGAAGGGAAUUUAGAUUGUAAGGGUGUAAUUGCCCAGGGAUUUCUUUGUUUGGGGUCCCUCUUUGGAGGCACCCAGCUCAAGCUGUGCUGCAUAUCAGAUAAAUAAA